Molecule: long non-coding RNA, 247 nt
Organism: Pristis pectinata (smalltooth sawfish)
Lineage: Eukaryota; Metazoa; Chordata; Chondrichthyes; Rhinopristiformes; Pristidae
Exons: 3
Source: RefSeq, a predicted model, not a curated record
CCGCUCAGGAGAUCGGGCGCCUCGAAGAUGUCGAGGGCUUCCUCGGCGUCCCGGUGUUGCCUGGACUGUCGGCGUUAAACUUUGCGCUUCCUCAUCCGUCGAUAGUUCCCAAGCUCCAGGCUGCCUGCUCAACAGAUGGAGGCAAAGCGGCCUCUAGCUACAGCACCUGCCAAACCCAUGACCUCUACCACCAACAGGAUAAGGACAACAGGGAGCAUUACACCUGGAUGUUUGAAGUAUAUUAUCG